AUUCCUAUGCAAGAGUUGUCAUUGUUUGUUUCAUCUCUUUAAAAGUUAAAUCCCUCCGUAGCAUUUUCACACGCACCUACUGUUGUUUCUAUUAUUCUCCAAUGAAAAGAAACUUCAACGUUGGGUGACAUUAAGCGUGAGAUGAAGAUAGUCAUAUACACUAAGUGACGGAUGAGCUUCAACAAAUUCCAUACAAGAUUUGAUUAUGCGUAAGAUGCAAUUCUAAGAAAGCAGGGUACAAUCUUUCUCAAGAAUAUUAUACGGAUUUUUCCCUACUUCGAUCAAUCGUUACGUGUUGUCACAACUGAUGUGUGUCAGAGGGAUUGUCAAGAGAAUUGGCUCAGGUAUGUUAAGAAUAUCCCUUCUUUCUUUUUGGCAUGAUCCAAAUAAUACAAAUGAAACGAGUAAAAUACGCAACUUUCAUAAAUGACCUUAUUCAUAGAAAUAUUAGGGGUACCCAUAUUCUUGAUUCCCCGUAUGAAUUAUUAUUAUAUCUUUUGUUCAUGGGUCUCAGAAAAAUAUGUAUUUGACAAAGUUUAUCCGAAAGCCAUAUUGACUUUUAUGACAUUCCGAGAAAUCUUAUUAACGUAUUUCUUAUGCAUUUCAUUCAUUUAUACAUGUACAUUGACCCAUGAGCAGAUAGCAUUAUAUACGUGUGUAUAUGUAUAUUUUAUUUAUAUGGGAUACGGGAAAAAGGUUAUGGCAUUAUAUACUCACCACCACCUGAUCAGCUGGUAUACAUUGAUGAUUUUGCCUACAGUGGCCGAGAUGAUAUGAUGGAAUGCCUUCAGAGGCUUGAUGAUGUUAUGAACACAUGUACCUAUGUAUGACAUGACAUUCAGACGCUAUGACUAUUUCAUUAUUUACCGAGUUAUUCAGAUUUACAUGUCGAGUCUUUUACUCUAUGUUUCUCUCAUGUCUAUUAUUUACUGAUUUUAUUAUUUACAUACUCAGUACAUUGUUUGUACUAAUGUUCCUUUUGCCUGGGGAUGCUGCGUUUCAUGCCCACAGGUCCUGAUAGACAGUUCAAGUCCUCUAAGUAGGCUAUCAGCUCAGCAGAAGAUGUUUGUGUGCUUCAUUUGCUCCGAAGUUGCUUAUUUGGUCAGUAUAAUUAGGACAUGUAUUGAUUGGUCUGGCGGGGCUUAGUCCCGACCUUUAUGAUACUUAUGUACUCUUCGAAGCUUGUAGAUAGAUGUCAUGUAUACGAAUACUUGUAUAGCCUUGUCGGCCUAUGUUUUGAGUUUAUAAAUGAUUAUAUUGGCCUAUUAGGCCCGUAUGUCACUUGUAUAUGAUGAUGUAAUAAGAAAGAUACGUUACGUUGGUACUCAGUUGAGUAAGGUACAGAGUGCCCGUCUCGGCCUAUCGGUUUGGGUCGUGACAAAAGUGGUAUCAGAGUAGUUCUUUCCUAGGGAUGUCUACAAGCCAUGUCUAGUAGAGUCUUGUUUAUGGGUGUGUUAUACACCACACUUGUAAGCAGGAGUCUACAGGGCAUUUAGGACUGCCACUCUUUCUUCUUACUCUAGAUCAUGUGGUAGAGCUCAACUAUAAGAAUUUAAACUCCUAAUUUCUAUUUUAUUCGUAAUAAGAUGAUAUCUACAAUUGGUAAGAGAUUGAAUGUGGUUAUGGAAAAGUUGAGUUAGAA
This 1642-nucleotide long non-coding RNA is filed under the name Nicotiana tabacum (common tobacco). Its description in RNAcentral is "long non-coding RNA (NTAB_LNC017420)". Lineage: Eukaryota; Viridiplantae; Streptophyta; Magnoliopsida; Solanales; Solanaceae. The record is from RNAcentral.